This 1372-nucleotide ribosomal RNA is filed under the name uncultured bacterium. RNAcentral describes it as "bacterial SSU rRNA". It matches the Rfam family "Bacterial small subunit ribosomal RNA", at positions 28 to 1381 of the family's 1533-position model. The record is from RNAcentral.
GAUGAACGCUGGCGGCGUGCCUAAUACAUGCAAGUCGAGCGAACGGACGAGAAGCUUGCUUCUCUGAUGUUAGCGGCGGACGGGUGAGUAACACGUGGAUAACCUACCUAUAAGACUGGGAUAACUUCGGGAAACCGGAGCUAAUACCGGAUAAUAUUUUGAACCGCAUGGUUCAAAAGUGAAAGACGGUCUUGCUGUCACUUAUAGAUGGAUCCGCGCUGCAUUAGCUAGUUGGUAAGGUAACGGCUUACCAAGGCAACGAUGCAUAGCCGACCUGAGAGGGUGAUCGGCCACACUGGAACUGAGACACGGUCCAGACUCCUACGGGAGGCAGCAGUAGGGAAUCUUCCGCAAUGGGCGAAAGCCUGACGGAGCAACGCCGCGUGAGUGAUGAAGGUCUUCGGAUCGUAAAACUCUGUUAUUAGGGAAGAACAUAUGUGUAAGUAACUGUGCACAUCUUGACGGUACCUAAUCAGAAAGCCACGGCUAACUACGUGCCAGCAGCCGCGGUAAUACGUAUGUGGCAAGCGUUAUCCGGAAUUAUUGGGCGUAAAGCGCGCGUAGGCGGUUUUUUAAGUCUGAUGUGAAAGCCCACGGCUCAACCGUGGAGGGUCAUUGGAAACUGGAAAACUUGAGUGCAGAAGAGGAAAGUGGAAUUCCAUGUGUAGCGGUGAAAUGCGCAGAGAUAUGGAGGAACACCAGUGGCGAAGGCGACUUUCUGGUCUGUAACUGACGCUGAUGUGCGAAAGCGUGGGGAUCAAACAGGAUUAGAUACCCUGGUAGUCCACGCCGUAAACGAUGAGUGCUAAGUGUUAGGGGGUUUCCGCCCCUUAGUGCUGCAGCUAACGCAUUAAGCACUCCGCCUGGGGAGUACGACCGCAAGGUUGAAACUCAAAGGAAUUGACGGGGACCCGCACAAGCGGUGGAGCAUGUGGUUUAAUUCGAAGCAACGCGAAGAACCUUACCAAAUCUUGACAUCCUUUGACAACUCUAGAGAUAGAGCCUUCCCCUUCGGGGGACAAAGUGACAGGUGGUGCAUGGUUGUCGUCAGCUCGUGUCGUGAGAUGUUGGGUUAAGUCCCGCAACGAGCGCAACCCUUAAGCUUAGUUGCCAUCAUUAAGUUGGGCACUCUAAGUUGACUGCCGGUGACAAACCGGAGGAAGGUGGGGAUGACGUCAAAUCAUCAUGCCCCUUAUGAUUUGGGCUACACACGUGCUACAAUGGGCAAUACAAAGGGCAGCGAAACCGCGAGGUCAAGCAAAUCCCAUAAAGUUGUUCUCAGUUCGGAUUGUAGUCUGCAACUCGACUACAUGAAGCUGGAAUCGCUAGUAAUCGUAGAUCAGCAUGCUACGGUGAAUACGUUCCCGGGUCU